Non-coding RNA from Podarcis lilfordi (Lilford's wall lizard), 4800 nucleotides. The record is from the annotation of a GenBank genome assembly. NCBI's taxonomy places the organism in Eukaryota, Metazoa, Chordata, Lepidosauria, Squamata, Lacertidae.
CACAGUGAUUUGGGAAAGGGUGAUUGACAGAUUCAUGCUUCACAUGAGUUUCACCCGGGUUUUGACUGUGAGCCUAGGGCAUAAGCAGCACAGGUAGACAAUAGAGGCAGCCUGCUACUUUCCUAGUCUUUCUUUUUCAUAACAAACAAUUGACAAUCACAGCUCUUCCCCCUCUCUCUCUUCUUCAUCAUAGGCUUUAUAACUGCAAAGAGAUGAGGGGAAAUGGUAACUUCUCCAGUUUUUUUAAAGAAAUAUAAUCAUCUAGUAUGACAGGCCCCAUAACUUAUUUAUCUUAACUUUUACAGUUUUCUUACCCAGAGGUAACUUUUUCAGUUUUCUCCCCCAUGCCCCCUGUUUUCAAACUGAUUCCCCCCCCAAAAAAGAAAAAGGAAAAAACAGUGGAGAGAGCAUGAUUUCAAUAUUCUCUCAGAGUUUGUAAUGGCAGGAGACUUGCUCUACCUAUCAUCCUGAAAUUUGGCAGGAUUGAUCCAUGCUCAAGGGGUUCAUUUGUCUGCAAAUUUCACUCAGUUAUGUAAAGGGGGGGAAGUUGUUGCCAUUUUUAGAUGCUCCAUUUUUAGUCACUGAGAGCAAAACAAAGCAUGGAUUCUGUAUGCCACUGAAUGCCAGUUGCCGGGUCACAAAUGUGGAAAAUACCGUUGCAUUCAGGUUCUGUUUACUGGCUUCCCAUAGGCAGUAUGGUUGGCCAGUUUGAGGACAGGAUGUUGCAUUAAAUGAGCCACUGGCCUGAUGCAGAAGGGCAUUCUUACAUUCUUAUUUAGCAGAUCAGAUCUUAAUUGGAUUGGAACAACACAGAGUGGAUCUGAAACAAACUUGGCUGUUUUCAGAUGCUACAGAUGCCUGAUGGAAGGCAAACCUUUUGGGUUGUUGCACAACCCUACUAGUUGGGUGUUAUUCUCUACACUAUUUUGACUUUGGAAGUGGAGACAGGGGCCCUGCCAUUAUAACAUGCCUCACCACCAUCAUGUUGCUGAAAGCAUUGUAAAAAAGAAGUGCUGUAUGCAUAUAUAUUUGCAAUCCUGCUAAACAGUAGCAGAAGCAGAAUUUUUUAAAAAGCAGCAGGGCUGCUCUUAUCAAAAGCAUGAAAAUAAAAUGGCUUUGACUUGGUUUCUAUAAACAAAUAAAAGCAGGUAACUGAUAAGAUUGCCAUGGUUCUUAGUCUGUAGCAAUGGUCACCACCUCCAAAGGAAAACAUGCCUGGAGAAGGGCCUCUGAUGGUGAUCUAAAAAAACCCCAGGAAGGUUCAUACCAUUUUAUUUCCCUAGGCAAUUUAGCUUAUAACUCUUGCAGUGUCUUAUGUGCCCUGAAAAUUAUUUCAGAGUUCAAAGCUUUGUAAUGAUAUGUCCCUUGUCACCUAGCGAAUCAUUUCAUAUUUUUUGCUAUUCACUGAAAUUAUACGUAGUUCGCAGAAGGAUGGGAUAGAAAUGCAUCAUACCAAGGACAGGGGCCUCAAGAGUGUCUCUUGUUGCUUCUCCCAUAACUUCAGCAGGCUUGCGUCAAGAGCAGAAGCCAGUCAUGCUCCUCAAUCUCUUGAAGAAGCCUCUCCCAGUCAGCAUACAUGAAGUUUUGCUCCAUUCCUGCUCCUCCUUCCCAGAACCCCCUGCCAACUUCCCCUUUCAUUUACAUAAUCUCCCUUCUCACCUAGCAACCUCAGUUUCAAAAAUCUUCUGCAAAAGGCACUGGCAACCUCUGCUUCCCAACUUUCUUGGGCUCCAUGAUCAUUGCAGAUGGUGACAGCAGUCACGAAAUUAAAAGACGCCUGCUCCUUGGGAGAAAGGCGAUGGCAAACCUAGACAGCAUCUUAAAAAGCAGAGACAUCACCUUGCCAACAAAGGUCCGUAUAGUUAAAGCCAUGGUUUUCCCAGUAGUGAUGUAUGGAAGUGAGAGCUGGACCAUAAAGAAGGCGGAUUGCUGAAGAAUGGAUGCUUUUGAAUUAUGGUGCUGGAGGAGACUCUUGAGAGUCCCAUGGACUGCAAGAAGAUCAAACCUAUCCAUUCUUAAGUAAAUUAGCCCUGAGUGCUCACUGGAAGGACAGAUCCUGAAGCUGAGGCUCCAAUACUUUGGCCACCUCAUGAGAAGAGAAGACUCCCUGGAAAAGACCCUGGUGUUGGGAAAGAUGGAGGGCACAAGGAGAAGGGGACGACAGAGGACGAGAUGGUUGGAUAGUGUUCUCGAAGCUACUAACAUGAGUUUGACCAAACUGCCGGAGGCAGUGGAAGACAGGAGUGCCUGGCGAGCUCUGGUCCAUGGGGUCACGAAGAGUCGGACACGACUAAAUGACUAAACAACAAAAAGCUGGCACACAGGUGGGGAAGGGACUCCACCCCCUUCUCACCUGAGAAUGAAUGUCUCACCUUGAAUGGGACUGAAUGACUCUGCCAUCACCUGUCUUUGUUCUUUGAUGGCACCUGCCUCAGCCAAUCUCCUGAGGAAGCUGGCAUGACGUAUUUUUUAGGCCUUGCCAAAUCCAUGGAUCAACCCCACAUUUGCUAAUUUCAGAAAUUAUGGGGGGAACCUGGCACCCAGGAAUUUUAAUGGAUCCUUGCUCCCCGCAAACCCAUAACAAUAUUUAAGAAGUGAGUUAUCUGUUAACAAUACUUUCUGAGCAAAGAACUGCAGGAACAGCCUGACACUUGACUCUGAAACAGGUGUUGGUAGUACAAUCAGUGUUUUGAAGAAGACAGCCAUCUUCAGAAGUAUGAAGAGAAGCACUGAAUAUCUGGUAAAAUAUAUGCUCCCACCCCCUUCUGUGGCCUCAACUAAAGAGACACUGAGGCCGUGUUCAGUAACGAGCCCUCAUUUCAGGUCAACGUACUCUAUAAAAAGCAGUAACAGAAAUAGUGAAGGUACAGAAAAGGGCAUAUAGAAGAAAGACACACAGAGCUAAAGUGUGGGGUCCCUCCCCCUGUAAGGGGAGAAAAGAACUUGAGGGGACCUUUUGCCAGCCUUGAGGGUGCAAAAGAAGAGAUGAAGAGAGAAAGCCACCCAAAGUAUAGCAUACAAAGGGCAAUGGUUACAAGCAGCAAGUAAGUGAACCAUUGGUGGCUGCUAAAAAGAGGGCAGUCAGGAGGGAAUUUCUACUCAAAAAGAGGUUUCUUCUGCUCUUCUCCCUCUCCCUCCAAACUAACACAAGAACUGCAAAAGGGAUAAGGGGGAAGGAGUAUUUUGACCCUCACAGUUGUUGAAGCAAACACAUCUUGUUAUCAAGUCUAAUGCUCCCUUGACUUGAGUCUCCUGCUUUAAUUACCAUGCUGUUUUAGUGGGAUUGUUUCAUUGUGCAUUUUAAUUAUUUAAAAUCUUGAAUGAAAUUUCAACGGGAACAAUUUUCAUUUUUUAAUCUUGGAAGGGAGCUUUCUGACAGCAUGCUUCUCCCUCUUGAACUUCCAGUGCCUACUAAAUAGUUGUUCUUGUUUUAAUUCCAGAAGGCAGUUUGAUUUUAUAGUUUUGACUGAUUUCUGAUUGCAUUUUUGUAAACUGCUUAGAUACUAUUGUCAUUAAGUGGCAUAUAAACGGCUUAAUUUGUUAGUUAGUGGUUAGGCACAUUUCCUUGUGUCAUCUUAUCCUUACCUCUUAACCUGUGGGUGGGCAGGGCACAUAUUGUGAUGACCUUAUGGCAUAGGCAAGUGUCCUUAAACAUUAAAGGGAAAGGUGUGAAAACUUGACAGAGGAGUGCUGUUUUUGAAAUUAGCCUCCAGGUCAAGUAUAAUGUCAUGUUUCAGGAAGCAUUGUAGGUGCCACCUCCAAGAAACCUCCAAAAAGGAAUGGGAAAGGACUGUUUUCUUCUUCCUCUUCUUCUUCUAGCAUUUGUCUUUCAAGAAGGAUAAAAGCUACUCUCUGCCCUGAAAGUGUUUUAUCCCUGCCUCUUUUAUCUGCUUUGCAUUACUUUGUCCUUUCCCACUUUUAUUUAUAUAUCGUACUGACUGCCUUUUUAAUUUCUGUUUUUCAGUUUUGGAGACUGUUAUUUUCCUUCUUAUUUUGCAAACUACUUUGGGCUGCCCCCCCCCCAAUUUUCUUUAAAGAAAGGAAAAUAGAACAUACAGUAAGAAAAUAAUUUAUGUAAAUUAUUUGCAGCUUGCUAUUUUGGGUGCCAUGUAGCAAUGCCCAAGAGGGAUCACAAUCAACAUAAUUUAAAACAGAUUACAAGAAAACACAGUCGAAAAUUUGCAACAAAACCCCAGUUCAGGAGACUCUGAACCAGAUGAUAAACAAGCCCAUAAAUUUGUCAAAAAUAAAACAGAUUUUAUAUGCCGUCAGGGAAGAUGUCAGCAGGACCUUUCAGGUUGGGGGAGCACCACCAGUGUCAGCAUGACCCCUGAAUCCCACACAGAGUCUGUCAGUCAAGACCCCCAGAAGAACCUCCUGGACCAACACAGGCUGUAGGGUUAGAGUGUGGUUCUUCAUGGCCUUCUUCCCCUGAUGUAUCAGAUGACUUCACCAGUCCAGGCAGGAGACUAAGCAAGAGAGGAGGAAUACCUAUCUUCAGGCUGUGGCAUCUAGAUGAGUUGGUCUGGAGAAAGAGGUUUAAACGCUUCACUCCGCUUUUAACUUUUGUCAGACAAAGUUGACUACACCACCCUGUCUGUGAUCCCGCAACUUCUGACCUGCCUUGUCCCAUGGAUUUGGUAUGAGGUAUUAGAACUGUGACAGCUAUGUAGGGAUGGAAUUUUAUGAAAAUAUUUAUGUUGAAGUCAUCCGCAUGUAUUUUUCCCCCUACUCCCUGUCUCAUUCCUGAAUUGUGAUGAGAAGUAUGUUUCUUCCCCACCCUGGUUCUGCUAAAUUUGC